AGUGAAUGAAGGGAAGCUUGUUCCGGUGGAGAUAAUUUUUGCCAUUGGUAAUAGCUUGUCCUUCUAAGUAGCUCUUUGUCACCCCAUAAAUAUAUUUUGUGUGGUGUGGAAAAUUUACCUUUUGCGUGUGGAAACUUUGAUCAAUCUUCACAAAUCAUGCAUUUACGCGUGAGAUACCACCUGUCUGCUCCUUUUUCUGAGUGUGUUAGGUUUCACAAUUAUGACAUUCGUGCUGUUUGCCUUGAUUAGUUGUGUUGAGUAAAGGAAAAAUGAGUAUAGGUUAGGCUAUUGGCGGUUUCAUGAUAUUGGAAUAGGGACAAAUCGGUGUUAACACGCGCGUGAAAAAACAAUGAAUUGGCCUUUAAAAAUCUCACUGUCCGGAUCAAUGGUGGUCAUUCCUAGCUCAAUCAACUACUUAUAAUUACCUCACCCUUACUUACUGGUGCUGGAGGGUUUGGUGAAUUUGAGAUAGUUCUUUUCUUUAGUUGAAACUUUUUUUUUUUUUUUUUUUGGCAACUAAAUGUCGAUUAGUGUAAAAGAUGUUUGUUCAAGUUAUUUGGUUAUCAUGAA
This is a long non-coding RNA of Quercus robur (English oak), 570 nucleotides long. RefSeq lists it as uncharacterized. The record is from RefSeq and is a predicted model, not a curated record. Lineage: Eukaryota; Viridiplantae; Streptophyta; Magnoliopsida; Fagales; Fagaceae. The transcript has 2 exons.